AAUUCGAUUAUUAGCUAGUAGGUGUGGUAAGAGCGCACCUAGGCGACGAUCAGUAGCUGGUCUGAGAGGAUGAUCAGCCACACUGGGACUGAGACACGGCCCAGACUCCUACGGGAGGCAGCAGUGGGGAAUUUUCCGCAAUGGGCGAAAGCCUGACGGAGCAAUACCGCGUGAGGGAGGAAGGCUCUUGGGUUGUAAACCUCUUUUCUCAAGGAAGAACACAAUGACGGUACUUGAGGAAUAAGCAUCGGCUAACUCCGUGCCAGCAGCCGCGGUAAUACGGAGGAUGCAAGCGUUAUCCGGAAUGAUUGGGCGUAAAGCGUCCGCAGGUGGCUAUGUAAGUCUGCUGUUAAAUAGUGAGGCUCAACCUCAUAAAGGCAGUGGAAACUACAUGGCUAGAGUGCGUUCGGGGCAGAGGGAAUUCUUGGUGUAGCGGUGAAAUGCGUAGAGAUCAGGAAGAACACCGGUGGCGAAAGCGCUCUGCUAGGCCGCAACUGACACUGAGGGACGAAAGCUAGGGGAGCGAAUGGGAUUAGAUACCCCAGUAGUCCUAGCCGUAAACGAUGGAUACUAGGCGUGGCUUGUAUCGACCCGAGCCGUGCCGUAGCUAACGCGUUAAGUAUCCCGCCUG
Molecule: ribosomal RNA, 631 nt
Filed under: uncultured bacterium
Lineage: Bacteria
Description: bacterial SSU rRNA
Rfam family: Bacterial small subunit ribosomal RNA
Source: RNAcentral